Long non-coding RNA from Oryzias latipes (Japanese medaka), 428 nucleotides. RefSeq lists it as uncharacterized. NCBI's taxonomy places the organism in Eukaryota, Metazoa, Chordata, Actinopteri, Beloniformes, Adrianichthyidae. The record is from RefSeq and is a predicted model, not a curated record.
UAAAUCAUUUAAGUUAACAGUUAUUCAAAGCACCUGAAAGAUUCAAAGAAAUAUAAAAGCUGAUCCAAAAUGUAUUUGAAUCUUUAUUUGGAAUGGAAACUUCAGAUGUUCACACUGUGAAUGUCAUGGUGGCCUGUCAGUUACUCUCCCCCUCCCCCACCUUCUCUGCCUUUGACACGACUAGCUGUUCUCACUCACCUCAUCACUGCUGCUGCCUUCUUAAGGAGUCUGUGGAUCUUCAGCCGACGCCAGUUCGUUGUUCCUCCCAUGGAAUUAUCCACUCUGAUACUCACCUGGUCGCAGUCCUCUGGUCACUCGUGCUUCGCUCCUGGAUCUCCUCGUCAAGACGCCUCCAGCCAGCUGACGCUCCACCUUCUGGGAAGACGCCAACACUCAUCUUCAGCCAAAUUAAAAUCUACUUCAGACUU